Molecule: long non-coding RNA, 1526 nt
Organism: Bombus terrestris (buff-tailed bumblebee)
Lineage: Eukaryota; Metazoa; Arthropoda; Insecta; Hymenoptera; Apidae
Exons: 4
Source: RefSeq, a predicted model, not a curated record
UCUUCAUCCGUCUCUCGCUCGCCUCUUUCUGGCCACCAACAACGAAUUAAACGCGCUUUAAUGAGACGAUUUUCCAGUCACCUUUCGAGACGCGCGGACUCGAGAGAACGGACGCUUAACGAGCGUGCGUGCAUGAAGUCGAAAAAUAAAGAGACCAUCGAAGAAAAAAGGGACAACCGAAGGAGGCACAGGGUGGAUGCAGAGAAAAAAAGAAUAAAGUGGAUGAAAAGAGAAGAGACAAGAGAGAGGGUCGAGAGUCUAAGUUGGAAGCUUCUGGAGAACGUGGAACGCCUUGGGACCCCGAAGGGACGAUCGACUCCAACGACGGAGGAGGACAACGAAAUAGGAAGAGAGCAGACCCGUUAUCUUUACUGCUCAAUCUUUUUCGCAAAACUACGAACUAGAGGGUGGCCAUGCAGCCGAUAAGAGAUAACGGGAGCCAGAAUCCAAAGCCGAGCUCUCGGUUUUAUUUACCGAGUCAAUGCUCCAGCAUGGGAUAUCCUGGAAGCCAGUUUACGUGCAUUUCGAGUGCCUCCGUCACAUUCCUCGUGACAAACACGGUGUUAGAAGAAGCGUGAAGCCGGAAGUGGCUCGAGAACCAAAGGGGAGGGAAGGAGACAGAGAGGGAAUCGCCGUGACCCGUUCCCGGCUAUACGAACGAAGGUACUACGAACGUUAGUCCAACUAUUGGAGAUGCAUUGAGUCAUCCGCGGGAAUGGGAUGAUUGUGAGAAGACUGGUAGAGCGCCGGAAGAUGCUGCAAGUGGCGUAAUUGGUUGAUCGAGCGAAUUUUUCAGUUAACGUAAGAAAUUUGUGGAAUUUUAAGGGGAAGAUCGCCUCUAUCUUGGAUCUGGUCGCUCUUAUGGCCGCGUCGCGUCGUCGGGCUGAAGUUGAAUGGCAAAGAAGAACGAGCCACGUUGAAGUCUCCCGUGUCAGCGCGGAGUAGUCGCCGCUGCUUGGCCAAGGAUUUACAAGCCGCCGCUGUUCAUCCAUUAUUGGUGCCAUCCGCCUUACAUACAUCGAGAACUCAUCGUGCGAGCAGCGUCCGCUUGGAGAACACGCGCGACCGUGACCUCUCGAAAACGGAUUGUCGACGCGAGCAAACCAUACUCCUCGAUCGUUCAUCUCGUGGAAUUCGAGAAAACUUGAUUGGUGACGUACUUAUAUAUGUAAUUGCUAGUUUGAAAAAAUGUUGAUUGACGUUUGAAUUUGAAGGUGAAGGCAGCAAUCGAAGAUCUGCUUUUCUUCCUUAAUCUUAGUUUCUUGGACUUGAACGACAGUAACGAAGGUACCUAGGGAUCAUUGAGAGGCGUGGGGAUCGGAGUUCUGAUCUUUCUUUUUAAUUUUAUCCUCUGCUACAGGUUAUUGGAGAAUUUGUGCGAGAAUGAGACUUUUCAUUCUACUGGAUUUUCCAGUAUAAAAAAGAUGAGUGCGAUGCAGUUAUUAAUUAAUAGGAAAAUACUUGAAUAUUUUAAAGCCGAUCUAAGUUUUUUUUAAGCGAGAGUAUAUGCAAUUUCUUGUAAAAAA